GGCUUAGUGGUCUAGUAGUAUGAUUCUCGCUUCGGGUCAUCUGAACUGCGAGAGGUCCCGGGUUCAAUUCCCGGCUGAGCCC
Non-coding RNA from Jaapia argillacea MUCL 33604, 82 nucleotides. The record is from the annotation of a GenBank genome assembly. Lineage: Eukaryota; Fungi; Basidiomycota; Agaricomycetes; Jaapiales; Jaapiaceae.